This is a long non-coding RNA of Gallus gallus (chicken), 924 nucleotides long. The record is from Ensembl. NCBI's taxonomy places the organism in Eukaryota, Metazoa, Chordata, Aves, Galliformes, Phasianidae.
AGACUACAUGUACUUUUUCAGGGCAGUGAUGAUUAAAAGAUAGGAGUCUUCCUUUGCAGAUAGAGUCUUCCCCUUCCAAUAGCCACACUGCAGAAAAUGGAGGCCUUACCCGGGAAUCAAACACAAAGCUGUUCUUCUCCGUCCUUUGAAAGUUAAGACAAAAUGGAGUGCCUUGACAGGAAAGGGACAAAGAGAAAAAACGGUUUCAAUCUGCUGAUAAAACGAAUGUGAUCUAACCUUGCUAUCUGCUUCAGGAUGGUCUGAAUUGCAACCUAUGUGACACUGCAUAACAUUAAGAAAGCGAACAAAUGCAGAAUGGUUCUUCUGAAAUAUUACUACAGUCAGGAAGAAGAACCAUUUUCAGCAGCAAGUAUGAGACUAAAAUGAUGAAAGGACAAAAGAUGUGGAGAGAAGGAAGAGCUCAGAAGGAGAGCAUCCAGACCUCUGAUUCCUGUAGAGAUUCCGGUGACAUAAAUAAAGAAUCCAGAGUUGUUACAGCAGAAGCUCUCUAAGGGAGUGAUCAUCCCGGAGGAACUUUAAAGGGAUGCAUAUGUUUUGUUUUUUUUCCUUGACAACACAAUUCAUCUGCUAAGUAUUACAUUUCCAUAGCAACAUAAAUGUACUUAAUGAAACAACUCCUUUUUGCACAAAUGAAGGUUAAGGACUCCAGCUGCCUGAGUACGCUGAUGUAGAGAACUGCAUGAGCCCUCCCACACCAACUACAUGAAGGUCAACAUGUCAGGCGAAUGUGGAUGAAAGAGAUUAAGUUAUUUCUCAUGAAGUUUUCCCAGGAAUUUAAGCUAUCUUUUCCCCAGGUCCUUAGACAUUUAAACUGUGCUAAAACCCUAAGAUGUCAGCCUUGCUGGCAUAAGUCCAUGUACUGUGCAACAUAGUAGAGAAUGAGAAAUUCUCCUGAGGGUUUUG